GACGAACGCUGGCGGCGUGCCUAACACAUGCAAGUCGAGCGGGGUUGAAGCGAGAGGUAACUCGAACUUCUACCUAGCGGCGGACGGGUGAGUAACGCGUGGGCAACCUGCCUCAAGGUCUGGGAUAACAGCCCGAAAGGGCUGCUAAUACCGGGUAUGCUUGUGGCCUCGCAUGGGGCUACGAGCAAAGGGGAAACCCGCCUUGAGAUGGGCCCGCGUCCCAUCAGCUAGUUGGUGAGGUAACAGCUCACCAAGGCGACGACGGGUAGCCGGCCUGAGAGGGUGACCGGCCACACUGGGACUGAGACACGGCCCAGACUCCUACGGGGGCAGCAGUGGGGAUCUUGCACAAUGGGCGAAAGCCUGAUGCAGCGACGCCGCGUGAGCGAAGAAGGCCUUGGGUUGUAAAGCUCUGUCUGGAGGGACGAAGGAAGUGACGGUACUCCGGAGGAAGCCACGGCUAACUACGUG
Molecule: ribosomal RNA, 471 nt
Filed under: uncultured bacterium
Lineage: Bacteria
Description: bacterial SSU rRNA
Rfam family: Bacterial small subunit ribosomal RNA
Source: RNAcentral